UGGGGAAUAUUGCACAAUGGGGGAAACCCUGAUGCAGCGACGCCGCGUGAACGAAGAAGGUAUUCGUAUCGUAAAGUUCUGUCCUAUGGGAAGAUAAUGACAGUACCAUAGAAGAAAGCUCCGGCUAAAUACGUGCCAGCAGCCGCGGUAAUACGUAUGGAGCGAGCGUUGUCCGGAAUUAUUGGGCGUAAAGGGUACGCAGGCGGUUUAAUAAGUCGAAUGUUAAAGAUCGGGGCUCAACCCCGCAAAGCAUUGGAAACUGUUAAACUUGAGUAGUGGAGAGGAAAGUGGAAUUCCUAGUGUAGUGGUGAAAUACGUAGAUAUUAGGAGGAAUACCAGUAGCGAAGGCGACGUUCUGGACACAAACUGACGCUGAGGUACGAAAGCGUGGGGAGCAAACAGG
RNAcentral lists this ribosomal RNA (403 nucleotides) under bacterium. RNAcentral describes it as "partial 16S ribosomal RNA". It matches the Rfam family "Bacterial small subunit ribosomal RNA", at positions 355 to 776 of the family's 1533-position model. The record is from RNAcentral.